RNAcentral lists this ribosomal RNA (92 nucleotides) under Lytechinus variegatus (green sea urchin). RNAcentral's name for it is "partial 12S ribosomal RNA". The record is from RNAcentral. Lineage: Eukaryota; Metazoa; Echinodermata; Echinoidea; Temnopleuroida; Toxopneustidae.
UACACAUCGCCCGUCACUCUCGCCUAGCAAUAUAUAGCAAGGGGAGAAAAGUCGUAACACAAUAGGCCCACCGGAAGGUAGGCCUGGAAAAU